GAUGAACGCUGGCGGCGUGCUUAAUACAUGCAAGUCGAACGGAGUAUGUAGUGAUAUAUACUUAGUGGCGAACGGGUGAGUAACGCGUUGGUGACCUGCCCCGAAGCGGGGGAUAACAGUUCGAAAGGACUGCUAAUACCGCGUAAUGUAGUGAGGAUUAGAAUCUUGCUACGAAAGCAGCAAUGCGCUUUGGGAGGGACCUGCGGCCCAUCAGCUAGUUGGUAAGGUAGUGGCUUACCAAGGCGACGACGGGUAGGGGGCCUGAGAGGGUGAUCCCCCACACUGGCACUGAAACACGGGCCAGACACCUACGGGUGGCUG
RNAcentral lists this ribosomal RNA (321 nucleotides) under uncultured Chloroflexota bacterium. Its description in RNAcentral is "bacterial SSU rRNA". It matches the Rfam family "Bacterial small subunit ribosomal RNA", at positions 28 to 351 of the family's 1533-position model. The record is from RNAcentral. Lineage: Bacteria; Bacillati; Chloroflexota.